This 2049-nucleotide ribosomal RNA is filed under the name Salmonella enterica subsp. enterica serovar Panama. RNAcentral describes it as "partial 23S ribosomal RNA". Lineage: Bacteria; Pseudomonadati; Pseudomonadota; Gammaproteobacteria; Enterobacterales; Enterobacteriaceae. The record is from RNAcentral.
AUAGGGGAGCCGGAGGGAAACCGAGUCUUAACCGGGCGUUAAGUUGCAGGGUAUAGACCCGAAACCCGGUGAUCUAGCCAUGGGCAGGUUGAAGGUUGGGUAACACUAACUGGAGGACCGAACCGACUAAUGUUGAAAAAUUAGCGGAUGACCUGUGGCUGGGGGUGAAAGGCCAAUCAAACCGGGAGAUAGCUGGUUCUCCCCGAAAGCUAUUUAGGUAGCGCCUCGUGAAUUCAUCUCCGGGGGUAGAGCACUGUUUCGGCUAGGGGGCCAUCCCGGCUUACCAACCCGAUGCAAACUGCGAAUACCGGAGAAUGUUAUCACGGGAGACACACGGCGGGUGCUAACGUCCGUCGUGAAGAGGGAAACAACCCAGACCGCCAGCUAAGGUCCCAAAGUCAUGGUUAAGUGGGAAACGAUGUGGGAAGGCCCAGACAGCCAGGAUGUUGGCUUAGAAGCAGCCAUCAUUUAAAGAAAGCGUAAUAGCUCACUGGUCGAGUCGGCCUGCGCGGAAGAUGUAACGGGGCUAAACCAUGCACCGAAGCUGCGGCAGCGAAGGGUUCCUGUCCAACGUUAAUCGGGGCAGGGUGAGUCGACCCCUAAGGCGAGGCCGAAAGGCGUAGUCGAUGGGAAACGGGUUAAUAUUCCCGUACUUGGUGUUACUGCGAAGGGGGGACGGAGAAGGCUAUGUUGGCCGGGCGACGGUUGUCCCGGUUUAAGCGUGUAGGUGUGUGUUCCAGGUAAAUCCGGUUCACUUUAACACUGAGGCGUGACGACGAGGCACUACGGUGCUGAAGCAACAAAUGCCCUGCUUCCAGGAAAAGCCUCUAAGCAUCAGGUAACAUCAAAUCGUACCCCAAACCGACACAGGUGGUCAGGUAGAGAAUACCAAGGCGCUUGAGAGAACUCGGGUGAAGGAACUAGGCAAAAUGGUGCCGUAACUUCGGGAGAAGGCACGCUGACAYGUAGGUGAAGUGAUUUACUCAUGGAGCUGAAGUCAGUCGAAGAUACCAGCUGGCUGCAACUGUUUAUUAAAAACACAGCACUGUGCAAACACGAAAGUGGACGUAUACGGUGUGACGCCUGCCCGGUGCCGGAAGGUUAAUUGAUGGGGUCAGCGCAAGCGAAGCUCCUGAUCGAAGCCCCGGUAAACGGCGGCCGUAACUAUAACGGUCCUAAGGUAGCGAAAUUCCUUGUCGGGUAAGUUCCGACCUGCACGAAUGGCGUAAUGAUGGCCAGGCUGUCUCCACCCGAGACUCAGUGAAAUUGAACUCGCUGUGAAGAUGCAGUGUACCCGCGGCAAGACGGAAAGACCCCGUGAACCUUUACUAUAGCUUGACACUGAACAUUGAGCCUUGAUGUGUAGGAUAGGUGGGAGGCUUUGAAGUGUGGACGCCAGUCUGCAUGGAGCCGRCCUUGAAAUACCACCCUUUAAUGUUUGAUGUUCUAACGUGGACCCGUGAUCCGGGUUGCGGACAGUGUCUGGUGGGUAGUUUGACUGGGGCGGUCUCCUCCUAAAGAGUAACGGAGGAGCACGAAGGUUGGCUAAUCCUGGUCGGACAUCAGGAGGUUAGUGCAAUGGCAUAAGCCAGCUUGACUGCGAGCGUGACGGCGCGAGCAGGUGCGAAAGCAGGUCAUAGUGAUCCGGUGGUUCUGAAUGGAAGGGCCAUCGCUCAACGGAUAAAAGGUACUCCGGGGAUAACAGGCUGAUACCGCCCAAGAGUUCAUAUCGACGGCGGUGUUUGGCACCUCGAUGUCGGCUCAUCACAUCCUGGGGCUGAAGUAGGUCCCAAGGGUAUGGCUGUUCGCCAUUUAAAGUGGUACGCGAGCUGGGUUUAGAACGUCGUGAGACAGUUCGGUCCCUAUCUGCCGUGGGCGCUGGAGAACUGAGGGGGGCUGCUCCUAGUACGAGAGGACCGGAGUGGACGCAUCACUGGUGUUCGGGUUGUCAUGCCAAUGGCACUGCCCGGUAGCUAAAUGCGGAAGAGAUAAGUGCUGAAAGCAUCUAAGCACGAAACUUGCCCCGAGAUGAGUUCUCCCUGAGACUUC